This 365-nucleotide ribosomal RNA is filed under the name uncultured eukaryote. RNAcentral's name for it is "partial 18S ribosomal RNA". It matches the Rfam family "Eukaryotic small subunit ribosomal RNA", at positions 592 to 976 of the family's 1831-position model. The record is from RNAcentral.
CAAUAGCGUAUAUUUAAGUUGUUGCAGUUAAAAAGCUCGUAGUCGGAUUUUGGCUGAGAACGAUCGGUCCGCCGUUAGGUGUGCACUGAUUGGUCUCAGCUUCCUGGUGAGGAGGUGUGCUUCACGGCCACUUAGUCACCGUGGUUACUUUGAAAAAAUUAGAGUGUUCAAAGCGGGCUUACGCUUGAAUAUAUUAGCAUGGAAUAACACCAUAGGACUCCUGUCCUAUUUCGUUGGUCUCGGGACGGGAGUAAUGAUUAAGAGGAACAGUUGGGGGCAUUCGUAUUUCAUUGUCAGAGGUGAAAUUCUUGGAUUUAUGAAAGACGAGCUUCUGCGAAAGCAUUUGCCAAGGAUGUUUUCAUUAA